RNAcentral lists this ribosomal RNA (507 nucleotides) under uncultured bacterium. RNAcentral describes it as "bacterial SSU rRNA". It matches the Rfam family "Bacterial small subunit ribosomal RNA", at positions 28 to 507 of the family's 1533-position model. The record is from RNAcentral.
GACGAACGCUGGCGGCGUGCUUAACACAUGCAAGUCGAACGGAGAUUAUUAAUGAAGCUUGCGAUUUAAUAAUCUUAGUGGCGGACGGGUGAGUAACGCGUGGGCAACCUACCCAUAAGAGGGGGAUAACAGCUGGAAACGGCUGCUAAUACCGCAUAAACUUUUUAAGACACAUGUUUUAGAAAGGAAAGGUGGCGCAAGCUAUCGCUUAUGGAUGGGCCCGCGUCUGAUUAGCUAGUUGGUGGGGUAACAGCCUACCAAGGCAACGAUCAGUAGCCGGCCUUAGAGGGUGGACGGCCACACUGGGACUGAGACACGGCCCAGACUCCUACGGGAGGCAGCAGUGGGGAAUAUUGCGCAAUGGGGGAAACCCUGACGCAGCGACGCCGCGUGAGCGAAGAAGGCCUUAGGGUCGUAAAGCUCUGUUGUAAGGGACGAAUGUUUAUCUGGCCGAACAGUCAGAUAAAGUGACGGUACCUUACCAGCAAGCCCCGGCGUAACUACGUG